CUCCUCUUAGCUCAGUGGAUAGAGCGACUGCCUCCUAAGCAGUAGGUCGGAGGUUCAACUCCUCUAGAGGAGGCCA
RNAcentral lists this transfer RNA (76 nucleotides) under Bacilli bacterium. RNAcentral's name for it is "tRNA-Arg". It matches the Rfam family "tRNA". From Rfam's summary of the family: Transfer RNA (tRNA) molecules are approximately 80 nucleotides in length. Their secondary structure includes four short double-helical elements and three loops (D, anti-codon, and T loops). Further hydrogen bonds mediate the characteristic L-shaped molecular structure. tRNAs have two regions of fundamental functional importance: the anti-codon, which is responsible for specific mRNA codon recognition, and the 3' end, to which the tRNAs corresponding amino acid is attached (by aminoacyl-tRNA synthetases). tRNAs cope with the degeneracy of the genetic code in two manners: having more than one tRNA (with a specific anti-codon) for a particular amino acid; and 'wobble' base-pairing, i.e. permitting non-standard base-pairing at the 3rd anti-codon position. Lineage: Bacteria; Bacillati; Bacillota; Bacilli. The record is from RNAcentral.